UUGGAGGGCAAGUCUGGUGCCAGCAGCCGCGGUAAUUCCAGCUCCAAUAGCGUAUAUUAAAGUUGCUGCAGUUAAAAAGCUCGUAGUUGAAUUUCGGGACCAAUAUGUCGGUCGUGCCUCGGUACGUACUGGCAUCGUUGGUUUCUCCCUUCUGACGAACCAUGAUGUCAUUCAUUUGGUGUCGUGGGGAAUCAGGACUGUUACUUUGAAAAAAUUAGAGUGUUUAAAGCAGGCUCACGCUUGAAUACAUUAGCAUGGAAUAAUGAAAUAGGACGUUUUGAUUCUAUUUUGUUGGUUUCUAGGAUCGACGUAAUGAUUAAUAGGGAUAGUUGGGGGCAUUAGUAUUCAAUUGUCAGAGGUGAAAUUCUUGGAUUUAUUGAAGACUAACUACUGCGAAAGCAUUUGCCAAGGAUGUUUUCAUUAAUCAAGAACGAAAGUUAGGGGAUCGAAGACGAUCAGAUACCGUCGUAGUCUUAACCAUAAACUAUGCCGACUAGGGAUCGGAUGAUGUUAAUUUUUUAAUGACUCAUUCGGCGCCUUACGGGAAAC
RNAcentral lists this ribosomal RNA (549 nucleotides) under uncultured Glomus. Its description in RNAcentral is "SSU rRNA". It matches the Rfam family "Eukaryotic small subunit ribosomal RNA", at positions 548 to 1098 of the family's 1831-position model. Lineage: Eukaryota; Fungi; Glomeromycota; Glomeromycetes; Glomerales; Glomeraceae. The record is from RNAcentral.